This 433-nucleotide unclassified non-coding RNA is filed under the name soil metagenome. RNAcentral's name for it is "partial contains 5.8S ribosomal RNA, internal transcribed spacer 2, and large subunit ribosomal RNA". The stretch from base 1 to 120 matches the Rfam family "5.8S ribosomal RNA", at positions 35 to 154 of the family's 154-position model. The record is from RNAcentral.
GAUGAAGAACGUAGCGAAAUGCGAUACGUAAUGUGAAUUGCAGAAUUCAGUGAAUCAUCGAAUCUUUGAACGCAUAUUGCGCUCUCUGGUAUUCCGGAGAGCAUGCUUGUUUGAGUAUCAGUAAACACCUCAACUCCCCUUUCUUUUUUUGAAAUGGGAGCUGGACUUGAGUGAUCCCAACGCUUUUCUCACCGAAAAGUGGCGGGUUACUUGAAAUGCAGGUGCAGCUGGACUUUUCUCUGAGCUAAAAGCAUAUCUAUUUAGUCUGCCUAAAAAACAGGUUAUUACCUUUGCUGCAGCUAACAUAAAGGAGAUUAGUUCUUGUGCUGACUGAUGCAGGAUUCACAGAGACAGCUUCGGCUGGCCUUUGUAAACUCGAUCUCAAAUCAAGUAAGACUACCCGCUGAACUUAAGCAUAUCAAUAAGCGGAGGA